GCCCCUGCUUGCUAGGCUACAUGUUUCAACGUAUGUGUGUGUGUCUUUGCAGUGGAUGUGUGCCGCAAGCGGUUGAAGGGGCUUAGGGACAGACAGAUAGACAGGCGCUCCGAAGCUGAGAUGGAGCGCCUGUAUUUCGUGUCCAGGCGGGAGAUGCUGCUUCCCACUCGGGCGAAGAGGUCCUCGAACUGCGCCGUCGACACACGGAAAUACCGCUGGAGGCGGCCGUCGUCCAGGCGGAGUUCCUGGAGCAAGCGGUGAAAGUCACCCAGCUCCGUCCUCCUCCGGAUGGUUUCAUGCACCCAUAAACGCCGGCGGCGUCUACUGCGUAUGUACAGAUAUGCGGCAGCACUGAUGAACUGAAAACUGAGCUAGUGACAUGGAUGAUGUCACCGGCGACCAGCUGCGACCUGCGACUGCAGCUUUGGACCCGGUGUGAACACACCAGAGCACCCCGCGACGCGACGUGACCGACCAAAGCGACGCGACGCGACCUGGUCGCGUUUGGUCUGAACGCGGCUUAACGUUUAAAUAAAUAUCUGUUCAAACCGUUCAGCUCUUUGCACAAACAAGACAAUUACAAAAACAAAGUUUGGGAUUUAUGGACAGGUUCUGGAGCACUAACUCUUCAGAGUUUGACUUUUAAGAGUUUGUGGGAAGAAAGUGACGCACACAGAGAAGUUUUACUUGUGUCUACUUGUUGACUGUGGUUGACCAAAAG
Non-coding RNA from Xyrichtys novacula (pearly razorfish), 721 nucleotides. The record is from the annotation of a GenBank genome assembly. NCBI's taxonomy places the organism in Eukaryota, Metazoa, Chordata, Actinopteri, Labriformes, Labridae.